Molecule: long non-coding RNA, 741 nt
Organism: Ipomoea triloba (trilobed morning glory)
Lineage: Eukaryota; Viridiplantae; Streptophyta; Magnoliopsida; Solanales; Convolvulaceae
Exons: 3
Source: RefSeq, a predicted model, not a curated record
GGUCUCAUUUACUGUUAAAUCACAGGUUCCAAUCCCUGAGAAAUAAGUUCACCCCUGUGCAACUAGUUGCUGGUGAAUGAAAUUCUGUUGGGAGAGAAUUGAAGGUCAAUAUAUGCUGCAAGAUCUUACAUACUUAUUAGCCUUCAUAUGUGAUUUUCUUCUUUAAACUGAAAUGUGGACCCUUGGAAUGAAAGUUGUCCUCUCACCAAAACAGUUUAUAUGGUUUAAGUGGCAUGGGGUCGAGACCCGACAGGGACUCAAUUGGAUUAAUUUCAUCUCACGGGACGCGUAUACCGGGUUGUCCUCUUCAGCCCUUCCACUUUUCUUCCAUAUAUUCAAAUUCACGGAUUGAUUUUUUUUUUUUUUUUUGGCUGCUGUCAAAUAUAUGUUAUUUAUUCAGCACAUCUUCCUUAAUAUCUGUAUGUAAUGACAUAUUUGAAUAAAGGUUUUCCACUUGUAGAGCCACAGGGGUAGUGUGAAAAGAAGUGGUGGAUGAAGAGACCCAACUUUCAGUGAAGGAUGUGACCUGUCAAAUUAGGCUUUUUCUGCCAUUUUCUCCUAUGGUUAUUAUGUAAGAGUGGGGUUUAUCAUGUGCACACGCUCAAGUAGUGGCUGAUGAUUUUGAUGUGUACUAUAUUUGGUUGUAAUUGAUAUAAAGAUACAAAAAUAUUCCAAAAGAGGUGGCCGAGUGGAUUGAACAUGAUUUUUGUAUAAGAAAGUUACAAGUUUGAUUCUUGCCAA